Molecule: small RNA, 384 nt
Filed under: Pan troglodytes (chimpanzee)
Lineage: Eukaryota; Metazoa; Chordata; Mammalia; Primates; Hominidae
Description: processed transcript
Source: RNAcentral
AUUAGUUACAUUUCUAGAUAGUUCGGAUGUCGCUGUGGCAAAGUCCGAGGGCCAGCGCUGCCCUGGAGAUUGAGCGCCUGGAGGACAGGGCUGGAGAUUGAGCGCCUGGAGGACAGGGCUUUGUCUGCACGGUGCCCUCGGGGUCUGGGCUCAGUGAGGGAUGAACCCUACCAGAGCUACAGGAAUAAAGCACCCAACAACGUGUACGCCCAGAUGAAUGUGGCGCUUUAAGAGCUGUGCGUGUUUUGGGGGAGCAGACGGUUGACAGUGUUGAGUUUGAUUGAAGGCAUCGACUACAAGACGACCACCAUCCUGCUGGACGGGCGGCGGGUGAAGCUGCAGCUCUGGGAUACUUCAGGCCAGGGAAGAUUUUGUACCAUAUUC